UAUGGCCCUUUUUCUUUUCCCUUUCUCAUUUUGAUUUCUCAAGUGUUUACAUAAUUGCAUUACUACUAUUACCACAUCUUUAGAAGUUGUAAAAUUCGUUUUACAAUUGGUAAAGUUGAUAGUUUCCUGCUCAAUUUGGUUGCUUUUUGAGCUGAUUCUUUUAUUUUAGUUCAGUUCUUGAAGGUCAUGCUUGUUAGGAAGCUCUUUGUUUUCUUGAUUAUUGCUCUCAGUUGCUUCAAGGUGCUGAGAUUUGUUGGGGCAAAGCUGGUCCAAGAAGAAGUUGAUGCUCUGGAAGAAAUUGCAAGGACAAUGGGCUCAACAUACUGGAAGUUUAAUGCUGAUUCUUGUGAACUUGAAGAGGUUGGAAUAACGCCAGAGCCACCAAAGAAUGCAGAGUACAGCAUAGACUGCAAAUGCAAUAAUGAGAACAAUACUGAUUGUCACGUCAUAAGGAUAUUGCUCAAGGGUUAUAAUCUUCCUGGGGUUCUUCCUCCUCAACUUGUUAAGCC
RNAcentral lists this unclassified non-coding RNA (509 nucleotides) under Hevea brasiliensis (rubber tree). The record is from RNAcentral. Lineage: Eukaryota; Viridiplantae; Streptophyta; Magnoliopsida; Malpighiales; Euphorbiaceae.